RNAcentral lists this non-coding RNA (23 nucleotides) under Arabidopsis thaliana (thale cress). Lineage: Eukaryota; Viridiplantae; Streptophyta; Magnoliopsida; Brassicales; Brassicaceae. The record is from RNAcentral.
UGAAGCUGCUCACGGCCCACCCA